Molecule: ribosomal RNA, 378 nt
Filed under: uncultured archaeon
Lineage: Archaea
Description: bacterial SSU rRNA
Rfam family: Archaeal small subunit ribosomal RNA
Source: RNAcentral
CCGACGGUGAGGGGUGAAAGCUGGGGGAGCAAACCGGAUUAGAUACCCGGGUAGUCCCAGCCGUAAACGAUGUGCGUUAGGUGUAUCGGUGACCACGAGUCACCGAGGUGCCGAAGAGAAAUCGUGAAACGUACCGCCUGGGGAGUACGGUCGCAAGGCUGAAACUUAAAGGAAUUGGCGGGGGAGCACCACAACAGGUGGAGCCUGCGGUUUAAUCGGACUCAACGCCGGAAAACUCACCAGAUAAGACAGCUGAAUGAUAGUCGGGCUGAAGACUCUACUUGACUAGCUGAGAGGAGGUGCAUGGCCGUCGUCAGUUCGUACUGUGAAGCAUCCUGUUAAGUCAGGCAACGAGCGAGACCCACGCCAACAGUUGCU